UGUUCCUUAACAAUAUGAAUUCCUCCAUACAGGAAAGAAUGGCACCCACUGACGUUAUUGAUGCUGGCUGAACGUUUAUGGAGACAAAAUUGCAAUUUUCAUGGAAAUUAAUAGGAUGUGCUACUUUUGGAGAAACCUGUGUACAUAAAUAUAGUACACUCCUACUGAAAACUGAUCUAUAUGUGCAAGAACAAAGUGGUGGUGAAGUUUCUCUUGAGCACAGGGUUCAAUUUUGGACCAAGGAAGAUGUGAGCCAACAGAAACAAGCCCAGUGGCCCCAUAGAGCUGACACCAACACAACUGCCAUACUGGAGAGCCUGUGGCCAACUGUCAUUCCUGUGAGCAUUCCAGGCUUCACUCACAAUCCCUGA
RNAcentral lists this long non-coding RNA (371 nucleotides) under Phasianus colchicus (ring-necked pheasant). RNAcentral's name for it is "lncRNA (ENSPCLG00000020317.1)". The record is from RNAcentral. Lineage: Eukaryota; Metazoa; Chordata; Aves; Galliformes; Phasianidae.